CCCAGCUGAAGUCACAGGUGGUUAUAAAUCACAGGAGCUGGGAACUGAAAUGAAGCCCUCUUGGAAGAGCAGCAAGUGCUCUGAACUGCUGAGCCACCUCUCCAUCUCCCAGGUAAAGCGUUUUCACAGUCUCCAUGCUACACAAACUCCUGAUGCUGUGAGAAACAAAAUAUGUAUGCUCUGGGAGGAUUUUUAGAAGGAUCCCGGCCAGGAAAAGGGCUCAUGGGGUCAGCUUUCUGUGGGUGCAGGUUAUUGAGGGUUGGGAGUACAGAGGGCACUGGGCAGGUGGAGUGGGUCCAAGCCACGUGGAAGCAUCAUGCGCACACUGGCAAACACAGCCCAGGGACUUUGCCCUUCCCUGUGCUGCAGGCCCAUGAAAUAUUUAGGCUCCUGGAUGCUGUUCAUCCCUUACUGUCCCCUCAGCAAGGAUACUUCUUCCUUUACAUCAUUUAUGGCUGUCCUCUUUCCUCCCCUCAGAGGCAGGCAGAGCAGGAAAAAGCAGACCUGAAGCUGAAGAAGUCUUUCUGAUCCUGUGAGCAGAAGGCAGAGUUCAAGCCCCACCUCACACACAGCUAUGCACUCUGAAAGAGGAUACCCACUGGGUGGCCUAGGAAGCAAGGGAAGAUGGGUCUUAAGCUAGGAAAGGGUCAUUUUGCUUCUCAGGGAUGAGGAAGCUUCAAGAGAACAAUGCUCCUGAAGGAAAGAAAAGAAAGUCUGGACUGACCAUAAAACCUGCCAUUUAUUCAUGUAUGUAUGUAUGUAUGUAUGUAUUUGUUUAUUUGAGACUGGGUGUUACUAUGUGACUCUGGCUGUCCUGGAACUUACUAUGCAGACCAUGCCGUCCUAGAACUCACAGAGAUCUGCCUGCCUCCGCCUCCCCAGUGCUGGGGUUAAAGCUUCUCUCUUCUUCCUCUGGCACUUAUUUCUAACAUCCAUGGACCAGGCCUCCCAGUUGCCAUGGAGACGCAGUGUGCAGCUGGAUGGUGAAUAAACUGAGGCUGAAACCUGCUCCAAACCAGGUCACCUGGAGUUGAACAGACAAGUUCCUGCUAUUAUUAAGUUCAUGAAGGGUGGAAAGACACAGGACUAUCUUAACCAACCUGUAAUAAAACUGGUUCCUCUUCCUGUC
Long non-coding RNA from Meriones unguiculatus (Mongolian gerbil), 1129 nucleotides. RefSeq lists it as uncharacterized. The transcript has 3 exons. Lineage: Eukaryota; Metazoa; Chordata; Mammalia; Rodentia; Muridae. The record is from RefSeq and is a predicted model, not a curated record.